This is a non-coding RNA of Chiloscyllium plagiosum (whitespotted bambooshark), 764 nucleotides long. Lineage: Eukaryota; Metazoa; Chordata; Chondrichthyes; Orectolobiformes; Hemiscylliidae. The record is from RefSeq and is a predicted model, not a curated record.
CACACAUGAGUUCAUAAUUUUGUGCAGUAUUACCACAGACCUGUUAUACUUGCUUAGUAGUGCAAUAAAUGAAUGCACAGUCAAGAAUGGGCCUGUCACUCCAGGAAUCAGUCUAGAUAACUUUUGUUGCAGUCCCACAGCCAGAAAAUAUAAUCAGCUGACAAUCAAGGAAGAUCUGGAUAUCCUGAAAUUGCCUCCUGGCUUUGUUGCCAAGUAACUGAUUCAAGAAUGUGCAAAGACAGUGAACAAGAUUUUUUGCAGUGAACUGAGAAGGGGAUGGAAGGAAGCAGAAUAUCGGAACCAAAUCCUGUACUUUGAGCCUUAUUUAGCAUGAUAAGCAAUUAUUUUGUUUAUCACUGGGAUUUUGAACAUUCUCUGUCCUGAAUAAUUGUUGAUAAUGAGCUAUAAGGAAAGCCAAAGAGUUGACAAAUCCCUUAAUUUUUCACCAUAUAGAUGAAAUGUAAUCACCAAUAAAUAUUGCAGCACCACUCACAUUAGGGUAGUUGAAAUACCAAUGUUUGCUUGUUGGAGAUUAAUAGACUGCAAGAUCUGGUGAAGAUUUAACUACUUGUAUAAACUAUGAUGUUAAAUUCUGUAUGUUCUCUGAACCAAGGGGCUAUUCUGUGGCCUCGAAUGUCCUCACCAUUUCUCUACGCUCACUAAUAAUUUCAAGAUUUUCCAUUUUUCUUUGUAAUGUUUCCCACACUGUUCUCAAUUGACGCUUUGAAGAACAAACAAGUUACUUAGAAUUAAGAAUAAUGCCA